GCGGUUCCAGGCUGGGCCGGCGCAGGGGCAGAUCGCUGGGAUCUCACCUGGUGUCUGUGCAUGGGCUGGGACAGAGCCUUGAGAUGCUGGAACCAUUCAAACAUGAGCCUGGCAUUGUUCACUUGCUUUCCCCACAGGGUGAGGAGCUGGUGCCCCUGGACUGUGCCGCAGUCUCCAGGACAGCAGGGCCGGUCUGCAGGUGCCCUUCAGAACCCAGACAGUUGCUGAGGUUUCUCGCGUGCUGCAUGGAAUGAAGUGGGCACACAGCAGCUAUUGUGCAAGGAAUCUCUUGCUAAGUGGAAGAGGCUGAUGCUGCCAAGGCAAACUAAUGGACUGGUCACCUAGCGGAACAUGAUGGUGUCUCCCAAGGGG
Molecule: long non-coding RNA, 372 nt
Filed under: Chelonoidis abingdonii (Abingdon island giant tortoise)
Lineage: Eukaryota; Metazoa; Chordata; Testudines; Testudinidae
Description: lncRNA (ENSCABG00000009607.1)
Source: RNAcentral